Molecule: unclassified non-coding RNA, 373 nt
Filed under: uncultured Eubacteriales bacterium
Lineage: Bacteria; Bacillati; Bacillota; Clostridia; Eubacteriales
Description: contains 16S-23S intergenic spacer region
Source: RNAcentral
UCCCGGUUAACCCGGGCAGUCUCACUAGAGUGCUCAACUUAAUGGUAGCAACUAAUGAUAAGGGUUGCGCUCGUUGCAGGACUUAACCUAACAUCUCACGACACGAGCUGACGACAACCAUGCACCACCUGUCUCCCUGCCCCGAAGGGCUUCCUCCAUUACGAGUAAUUCAGGGGAUGUCAAGUCCAGGUAAGGUUCUUCGCGUUGCUUCGAAUUAAACCACAUGCUCCGCUGCUUGUGCGGGCCCCCGUCAAUUCCUUUGAGUUUUAAUCUUGCGAUCGUACUUCCCAGGCGGAGUACUUAUUGUGUUAACUGCGGCACAGAAGGUUGGACCCCCCUACACCUAGUACUCAUCGUUUACGGCGUGGACUAC